RNAcentral lists this long non-coding RNA (503 nucleotides) under Gallus gallus (chicken). RNAcentral's name for it is "long non-coding RNA NONGGAT003826". Lineage: Eukaryota; Metazoa; Chordata; Aves; Galliformes; Phasianidae. The record is from RNAcentral.
UGAUAUUAGGACAGUCUUGAUUUCCAGUUUAUUCUUUUGGGGUUUUCUAUUGAGCUCAUGACCAAAGAAACAGAGUGACAUGCAGUAGAGCACGGAGCAGCACAAUGAACAGCUGGUACUGGACUGCACCUGAGGAUUGCUUUGUCUACAGCAAAAGCAUGAGCAAAUGAUGUCCAGGAUCUGUGUCUCUCCUUACACCAUCAAGACUGCAGGGACACUGGGGCCAGGUAUGAAGAGCAGUCCCUCUACUGCUGCCAGUGCUUCACAGCUCAACACCUACCUAUGGUUGUAGGCAAGACAGUGUCACCUGGGACAAGCUACGCUGCUGCAGUCAUGCUGCUGUCACUGCCAGUGAUGAGUCGCAUAUGCCUACCUGUGCUGCAGCCGUGUCUCCAUGCAAACUUAUUCCUCAAGACUUCAGUUUUCUCAACGUUUCCUUCUCAGCAGGGAACACAAUUUGCAUUUGACAUGCAGCACUAGGCCAGCACAGCCUGGCUUUGUUU